CAACUCAUAACAUACUUCUCUAAUGUCUUAAUAAAAUAUUAUUUAAGGGUGCAAUAAUUAAAUAUAUUAAUUCAAUAAAUUUUGUAAUUUAUAGACAAAACAAUAACACAACAAAUCUAACCUAUACUAAAAGGGGAAUAUGGUCAAAGGAGAGCCUGUCCACGUUGGAUUAAAUAAUCAACCAGUAAAAAAUUGACAUGUCAGCUUCAUUUUUAAGUAAUCCUCUGUUUUUGUCCACGUCUUUAUUUCUACAAACCCAAACUCCUACCUAAUUUUUGACAAAAUAUCGCCUCCAGACCGAUUCGACUUCUCAUUCCUUCUGAUUGAAAAAUCAAUCAUAAAUCACUAUGUUAUCUUCUCCACCGAUUCACCUGCGUAGAGUCUCAUUUCCACCCCUAUCACUCAUAAAGACCCAACCGUUAUUGCAUUAACACAAAGCUAAUCAACUCUUCCAAUUCUCACACCUAAAAACGUUAUAUAUAUAGCUCUUUUACGGUGCUCUCAUUCACCAAGAAGCUACCUUCAUCAGUUUGCAACUCUUGACUAAUGCUUCUUCAUUAGGCCAAGAUCUCAUACAUUUAUCCUUUUGCUCCCUUCUUUGCUCGACAAUCUUUCGCAAGGUGGAUUAUCUAUGUGACCAAGGAGCCACCGAAGUGAGCAGGAUGUAGCAAAGCGGCUGCAACUGAUCCAAACAAACCAAAAAGGCCAGCCGGGGCCUUCUUCUUUUUCAUGUAAUAAUCGCCUGCAAAUUCUUCUUUUAUUUUGUGUUCAGUAGUUUCCAUGGGUUAAAUUUUUUUAUUUAAAAAAGUUCUUCCUCUGGCUACUGCGAAAUCUAAUACAGGUUAGAUGGUUUGAAUCCUUUCUGUUAUUUUGAUGUCAAAAGUAUUUGACAAUGGUUAUAUGAACUUAUAAAUCUGUUGCCAUUAUUCCUCUUUUUAAUUUGAUUGUAAUGUAUUUUUUUGUUGGUUUUCUAUUAUUUGUAUGGACAUACAAGUUGCAAAAGCUGCUGGAGAUAAGUGGAAAUUCUUGACAAAUGGGUGAGGAGAAAUAACUUCAUGUUGCCAAGGCUGAAAAUCACAAGUUUGACUACGAGAAGAACAUUGAGACCGUACAACAAGAAAUUGAAGAAAUAUCCAAAGGAAGAUGAGGGAUCUGAAAAAUCAGUGCCAGAGGUUAGGAUGAAAGAGAAAGGGUGCAAGAGCAUAAAAACUACACGCUACACAAACCUCUUGAAGCUAAGGACAUUGCAGCUAAGAAAGAUCAGAGAAAUUCUGAGUAUUUAAGGGAGAAAGAGAAGAAAACGGUAUCAGCGAAAGGCUACAAUUGUUUAAAAAAUAUGUGAAGCAAUGAAAUUGAGCAAGGAAUCGUCUGAUGAUGGUGGCAGAAGCUGCUCAUUACGCCGAAGUGGCUACUCAUAAAACAGAUGUUGUUGGGUAGAUAGUGCAAGGGACAAACUCGAUUGCAGGGACGGUGGAAGGUGCAGUGUGAUAUGCAGGGCAUAAGGUGGCUAUAAGAAUGUGGAGUUGAUUAAAAAUAAAUCAGCAGCGGCUGCUAAUAUGGUGGUUGGAUACACAGUGAGCCAGAAAGAGAAAGCUCAACACAAAUGCCAAGAAAUGCACCAGGUACUACUCCGCUUACGUCAAAGAUCUUGAUUUAGCUCAUUCAAGUAUCAUAAUGUUGUUACGUGGUUCUCAAGAAACUGUUUUUAGAUUUGUUGAGUGGGGGUGAGGAAGAGAAGCUACCAGGGUUUGUCACAGAAUCAAGAAGAUGCUAUGGACCGAUGUAAGAGAAAUUAGAAGUAAGGAAAUUGUAUUCGGAUAUGGACCAAAAGGGUUCGGGUAUGAAGAAAGAUGUUUAAAUAAGGAACAAAUGGAAUGUUUUUUCAAUUGUUUUUGCUUAUAAGGGUCCUUUAUCUAAAUAGCAUGACACUAUGCUUCAGAAUAAUUCCCUUCUAAAUAAAAACCGCUCUUUUUCUAUUAAAUGGGUUGAAGUAUGUAACUGGUUAAGGUUUAUCAAUCUAAUCAAUCUCUUCAUAUUUUCCUUUGAAUUACUAAUAUUUAUCUACUCUUUGGAGACUAAGUCAGUGGACUUUAUACUUUGAAGUGGAUCGUACAACACUAUCAUACCAAGAACAUUAGCUACCUUCAAUUUAAAAAUACCAAAAUUUCAAACAUGUGAUUGCAGACAAAUAUCUUGGAUGGAAGUCAUCCUCAUAAUCAAAUCACUUCAAUCGAGUUGCAUGUUAAUUUGUAUCAUAUUGUAUAAUAGCAGACACAUAUAUAUGUGCAAAUACUACAUAUAAAUACACAUAAAUUUGUAUUUUGAUCGGCAAGAGACGUCGGAGACCAUAUAUGUUUUCACACAAUAAUCAACAGGAAGAACCAUAUUAAUCUUGGAUGAUGCAAUUAAAUAAGAAAAAUGCUUAAAAUUACUAAAUAUAACUACAAAUAGUAAUAAAUAAUUAAAUUAAAAAUUAAUCAAAAAUGAUAUGUGAUAUCAAUAUACAAAGUAGAGAAAGAAAAAAAACCCAAAAAACUAAAGAUUAUAUUACAAAACAAAAUGUAAAACACAUAAAGUUAUACGUAAGUCUUAUAUUAAUUCAGUAUAACUACAUGAAUAAUUUCAUAUGCACAAUAAAUCUAUUAUUUAGUUCAAAAAAAGUAAAAUAAAUCUAUUACACUUAAUAAAACUCUGAUUAUAUAGGAAUCAAGAAGACAACAUAGAAGACCAAGACAACAUAGAAAACCAGCGUCGUUAACAAACAAAAAAAAAUCAUCUUCUUUACUGUUGUAAAUAUUCUUCUAUGUAUUAGCUUGAUCAAUGAAGAAUUAUUUAAAUAAAUAAGAAUCAAAU
This is a long non-coding RNA of Brassica rapa (field mustard), 2853 nucleotides long. RefSeq lists it as uncharacterized. The record is from RefSeq and is a predicted model, not a curated record. NCBI's taxonomy places the organism in Eukaryota, Viridiplantae, Streptophyta, Magnoliopsida, Brassicales, Brassicaceae.